UUUGCACAGUGCAGGGUAGAAUUACAGUUGAACCAACAACUGCUGUUAUAUUCACUGGUGUAUCCAGAAAUUUGACACAUCUGCUCCAUUGAUCAGUGAGCUCAGGACUGUCAGGACUGAUCAACAACAGCUGGGAACUAUCAUUUCCCUAAAACACUCUGGUCUUAAGUCCUGCACAAUCCUGAACUGCCUUAUGAUGCAGCAGUACUAGACAAGCUGGAAUAGCUUGAGCUCAAAAAUCUAACCAAAUGACGCCAUUGUGCUGCAAAAUUUGAGAGAGAGUGUUUCUGAAAGACAGAAUUUUGAACAUUUUUUAAAGGGGAUAGCGGUCGUUUUUUUUUCAAGAAUAAUUAUAGAAAUAAGCUUUAAACUGGUAUAUUUUGUAAAGUUUGACAUAAUUGCAAAUAAAUUUAUGCCUAAGGGACAUUUCUGUGUAAUUAUAUUAUCAAUUUUGUGAAUUUAGUUGAUUUUUAGACCUCAUUAUAUUUAGAUGUAAAAAAAAAUUUCAGUUGAGUGAGUGUGGUUAAUCUAAUGACGUGAUGUAAAUGUCUAGUGCUAUUAAUUUUUAUAUUUUUUAAUUCCUCGAUUGUUAAGCAAUAAAAUUGAUAUAUAAUAUGUCAA
Long non-coding RNA from Physella acuta, 621 nucleotides. RefSeq lists it as uncharacterized. Lineage: Eukaryota; Metazoa; Mollusca; Gastropoda; Physidae. The record is from RefSeq and is a predicted model, not a curated record.